GUUUUACUUUUUUCGAAAUUUUGAAAUGACAGAGUUUCUGCGUGAUGGUGGUGAACAUCGGCCGCGGCCACGACCGCGACGCAGCUGCGAGCGGACCGGUUCAAACAAAAAAGUUUGUUUUAUUUUGUUUUUCGCCCAGACCGCAUGAUU
Molecule: non-coding RNA, 150 nt
Organism: Caenorhabditis elegans
Lineage: Eukaryota; Metazoa; Nematoda; Chromadorea; Rhabditida; Rhabditidae
Source: Ensembl